RNAcentral lists this ribosomal RNA (468 nucleotides) under uncultured bacterium. RNAcentral describes it as "partial 16S ribosomal RNA". It matches the Rfam family "Bacterial small subunit ribosomal RNA", at positions 28 to 507 of the family's 1533-position model. The record is from RNAcentral.
GACGAACGCUGGCGGCGUGCUUAACACAUGCAAGUCGAACGGAAAGGCCCUGCUUUUGUGGGGUGCUCGAGUGGCGAACGGGUGAGUAACACGUGAGUAACCUGCCCUUGACUUUGGGAUAACUUCAGGAAACUGGGGCUAAUACCGGAUAGGAGCUCCUGCUGCAUGGUGGGGGUUGGAAAGUUUCGGCGGUUGGGGAUGGACUCGCGGCUUAUCAGCUUGUUGGUGGGGUAGUGGCUUACCAAGGCUUUGACGGGUAGCCGGCCUGAGAGGGUGACCGGCCAAAUUGGGACUGAGGUACGGCCCAGACUCCUACGGGAGGCAGCAGUGGGGAAUAUUGCACAAUGGGCGGAAGCCUGAUGCAGCCACGCCGCGUGCGGGAUGACGGCCUUCGGGUUGUAAACCGCUUUCGCCUGUGACGAAGCGUGAGUGACGGUAAUGGGUAAAGAAGCACCGGCUAACUACGUG